Non-coding RNA from Salvelinus sp. IW2-2015, 309 nucleotides. NCBI's taxonomy places the organism in Eukaryota, Metazoa, Chordata, Actinopteri, Salmoniformes, Salmonidae. The record is from RefSeq and is a predicted model, not a curated record.
CACACACUGCUGAGUGACCAGGUGGUUUAUAACUUACCUGAUGAGAGCUGCUUUCUCAUUGGCACACUCAAAGAUGAAACGGGCAGGGGCUCCAUCUGGUUUUGAAGUAGCGGAUGGAGGACGAGAGCGUGAUGACAUCACUGAAACCUCCUCCCUCCGUGACGAGCAGAGCAGCCUCCUCUCUCUCUCCUAUCGUUCAGAUUGCUAUGUGUAAGGCAGAAGACAGAGGGACUGAACUGAAGCCAUGUUAACGUUAGAAUCUGACGGGGUGUGACCACUGUUCAUAUUGAAAACACUAUUACUGAGGGG